AAAAUGUGACAAGAGAGAAGCUUAUAACUGCAGUGUCCGGUUUCCCCAUUAUUUAUGAUGCUUCUCUGGCUUCAUACAGAGAUACAAUUCUAAAACUGUGUGCAUGGAAGGUUUCGGAGAUCGUUGGGAUCACGGCGCCCCCUGGACAUUUCCCCCCGAUUGACACCAGGUCGACACCAGGGGCAGAAUAAUCAAGCAAGCAUUCUGUUUCUUCCAACACCAAGGGCUGCACUUCACUACAACGUGUUAGGCGGUGUCUUCAGCUUAAAGAGCUCUACAUCAAGGAUACAUAAAUAUUCAAAGCGAUCAAAAUGUUCUGCUUUUAUAUAUUCAGCCAUAAAAUAUGCAAAACUAUUCAUACUGAAUUCACACCUGCACAUAAUAUGUUGUAUAUAUUUUUAAGUAAACAAAAAGCAUAAUGAAUGUCAUGCAAAAUACAUUUAAAUGCUUUACAAAUGUCUGUGCUCUAUAGCAUGUUUCUUUUAGGCAUGUGCAGGUCAUAAUAAUAGUACCAAAUGUUGAAAGGCUGAACUACACUCCUUGUGGAUUGUCAUGUCAUACAUUUACCUUCAUGUUGGACAAAAGAAGAAUAUCACUGUAGAAAAGGCAAGGAAGAAUGUACUAAAUAAAUGGUAUAUUAAUGGUAGUUAAUUGUAACAUUAGUAGUUAAUUAGGAGAUUGUAUUGUCAUAAGGACUGCUGUACCUCUGCCCACUGGCCAAGGGAAGCAGUGCUCUGAGGAGAAGUUUAGACAAGCAGCAGUCAUUAAAUGUCCAGUUACUUGUGUCUUACAGUACUGUAGUUGACAUCCUUUGUUUGGACAAACAAAGC
This is a long non-coding RNA of Esox lucius (northern pike), 830 nucleotides long. NCBI's taxonomy places the organism in Eukaryota, Metazoa, Chordata, Actinopteri, Esociformes, Esocidae. The record is from Ensembl.